ACUGACGCUGAGGAGCGAAAGCGUGGGGAGCGAACAGGAUUAGAUACCCUGGUAGUCCACGCCGUAAACGGUGGAUGCUGGAUGUGGGGCCCGUUCCACGGGUUCCGUGUCGGAGCUAACGCGUUAAGCAUCCCGCCUGGGGAGUACGGCCGCAAGGCUAAAACUCAAAGAAAUUGACGGGGGCCCGCACAAGCGGCGGAGCAUGCGGAUUAAUUCGAUGCAACGCGAAGAACCUUACCUGGGCUUGACAUGUUCCCGACGACCCCAGAGAUGGGGUUUCCCUUCGGGGCGGGUUCACAGGUGGUGCAUGGUCGUCGUCAGCUCGUGUCGUGAGAUGUUGGGUUAAGUCCCGCAACGAGCGCAACCCUCGCCCCGUGUUGCCAGCGGAUUGUGCCGGGAACUCACGGGGGACCGCCGGGGUUAACUCGGAGGAAGGUGGGGAUGACGUCAGAUCAUCAUGCCCCUUACGUCCAGGGCUUCACGCAUGCUACAAUGGCCGGUACAACGGGAUGCGACAGCGCGAGCUGGAGCGGAUCCCUGAAAACCGGUCUCAGUUCGGAUCGCAGUCUGCAACUCGACUGCGUGAAGGCGGAGUCGCUAGUAAUCGCGAAUCAGCAACGUCGCGGUGAAUGCGUUCCCGGGCCUUGUACACACCGCCCGUCAAGUCAUGAAAGUGGGCAGCACCCGAAGCCGGUGGUCUAAC
Molecule: ribosomal RNA, 703 nt
Filed under: Bifidobacterium breve
Lineage: Bacteria; Bacillati; Actinomycetota; Actinomycetes; Bifidobacteriales; Bifidobacteriaceae
Description: bacterial SSU rRNA
Rfam family: Bacterial small subunit ribosomal RNA
Source: RNAcentral